Long non-coding RNA from Sus scrofa (pig), 2613 nucleotides. RefSeq lists it as uncharacterized. The record is from RefSeq and is a predicted model, not a curated record. Lineage: Eukaryota; Metazoa; Chordata; Mammalia; Artiodactyla; Suidae.
CUGGAAGGGGACGUUGCACCUGUGUGGAAGAGCCUUGGAGAGUCUGGGGCAAGUGCGUGAGCUUCUCUUGAAGAAAAAAUUUCCUAAGUUACUCUGUUUUACUCCGUUCCUGUCUUGCUGAAUGCUUUCCUGGAGACUCCAGUAAGACACAGUCUGCAUUAUCACCAUGGAUGCCAGCCUUCAACCAUUUGAGGUGUUCACAGAGGCCCUGGUGCCUUGCUGAUUGUUGCUGUAGAGUCUGUGCCAACAUGUCCUUUCAGACUGCUCUAACAAAACGCCAGAGACUGGGUGGCUUAUAAAAACAAUCAUCUAUUUGUCACAGUUCUGGAGGCUGGGAAGUCCAAGAUCAAGGGGCUGGUAUGUUCAGUGUCUGGUGAAGGCUCACUUCCUGGUUCGUGGAUGGCACUCAUCUCCCUGUAACCUCACAUGGCAGACAAGGUGAGGCUGUUACCGGAAAGAUGUUACCAGAAUCUGGGUUCUUGUUCACCGAGCCGAAGAAUGAACUUCGAGAACACACGGGAGGCCAAGCAAGCCAAGUCUUUAUUACAGGAGAGCAAACAGCUCCCAGCACAGACUGGGAGGGGGAGGAAGAGUCUCCCUUUACAUUGUUCUACGGAGGUUUUUAUUUCUUAAGGAUGCGGGUACCAACGUGGGGUCUAGACAUUGUUCCUGUUUCUGAUUGGCCUUGUCCAGCUCCCUAUAGCCAGCCUUAUCCAAUAGGGGUCUUAGAGAUGAAUAUGCCCCCUAAGUUUUAUGGCUACUUUGUUCUUUCCCCUAGACUGCAAGUCGCCUUUCCUCUCAAUCCUUCCCCAUCAGUCAAGGGGUGAGUUAGAGGUUAACAUCCACCCACACGUAAAGCAGAUAUAUUUUCUAUUAACAACAAGGCCUGUGAAUGUUAUUUCCUGGAACGCCCAAAUCAUAGACAUUAAUCCACAGCUAUACCAAAGAAUGCAUCAAGAUAUUAAUCAGCAACUAUAGAAAAGAAUACAUCGAAGCCCAGGUUCCCACACUACCUACCUAAAUCAUCAUUCAUUCAUUACUCUGCCUCGAGAGGGCUCUCGGGGGUAUCAUUUAUAAGGGCACUAAUCCCAUUUGUGAGGGCUCUACCCUCAUGACCUGAUCACCUCCCAAAGGCCCCACCCCCUAAUAUUGUCACAUUAGUCAUUAAGAUUUAAUAUAUAUAUAUUUGGGAGUUGGGGACAAAACAUUCAGUCUAUAGCACCGUUUUACAGAGGAGGAAACUGAGACUCUAUGAGGGCAGGUAAUGUGCCCGAAGUAACAGAAUUUAUUCGGGACAGAACUGGAAGGCAAGAGAACUCAGGACAGCCAACUAUGUGUUUUUAUCAAACAUCAUACUAAACUACCAACUUCUGUGGUAUUUAGAGACCAAGCCGUAAGGACAGGCUCUUAGAGAUAAUUUAUGUGGCAACUCUUCUCUAGAAAUUAUACAAAGAUAUUAUAAUAGGAGGGAUAUUGAAUAGGAUUUGGCAGCCGUGAUUUGCUAUUAUAGUGUUUUAUUGAAAACAAUUCAUUUUAUUUAAGACUUACUUCCAAAAUCCUUAGCCUGAUUAAUGACAACCUUCUGAAAUGAUUUUUUUAAAAUAAAAAAGAUUUUGCUUCCUGAAAAAUUCACAUAAUAUAGUCUGUGACUGAUCACCACAGUCAUAUAUUUAGAUCCACAAUUACUAGAUACAAAUAAAAGAGAGCUGGAGAGAAGAUAACAUAAAUGCUUUAAAUCAGGAAAGGAAAAGACCUCUCUAAUCAAUGUCUUGCAGAAUCAUUAACCAAAGUCCUAAACUGAAGUUCAAAUAAUUGAAAAAUGAAAAUGAUCCAUCUACUCUUGACAGGGAGAUUGCAGUCUUAUAAAAAAGUUGAAUGCAUCUGUGGAUGAAAAGAAUUGACACCACCAUUUGGUAAUUGGCUAAAUAACAGUCAUAAACAAAUGGAAAAAAUAACCAAAUUGAGAAUAGAAGUCAGAAUUUUCCCCAUCUUCUUUAAGAGGUCACAAUACUUUGAUCUAGAAUUUUGAUCGCUAAAAUCACCAGGUAUGUGGAAGAGCACCGCCUAUGGUAAAAAGCAUUAUAAUCAUCCAUCGUCUCUCUGUCCAUUCAUUCACCCCAUCAUCCAUCCAUCCAUUCAUCUAUCCAUCCACUAGGUUGAACAACAUGAAGUUGCCAUUGUUUGAUCAUUUUUGACUUCUAAGAAAAGCAACUUCCUGUGGUUCAGUAUAAAAUAUUCAAUUAAUACUUAUUGAAUGUGCCACCAUGUUCAGUGCACUAUGCAAGGUUUGGGGAGUGAGGAUUGCGUAAGAAAUACUCCCCAUCUUUACAAAUCUCCACUAGGAGAAACGCACACCAAUUACUCUUUAUAAGAGGGUUAAGGAUCUGGUGUUGCUACAGCUGUGGUGCAGGUCGAAACUGAGGCACAGAUUCAGCCCCUGGCCUGGGAACUUCCACAUGCAGCAGGUGCUAUAGGAUUAUAUUGAUGUGCUGUAUAUGCAUAGAAAGAACAUACAGAAAAUUGUGAGUUGGGGAGUCCCCUUAUGGUGCAGUAGGUUAAGAACCUGGCAUUGUCAGGAAUUCCUGUCGUGGUGCAGGGGAAACAAAUCUGACU